Long non-coding RNA from Myiozetetes cayanensis, 647 nucleotides. RefSeq lists it as uncharacterized. The record is from RefSeq and is a predicted model, not a curated record. The transcript has 4 exons. Lineage: Eukaryota; Metazoa; Chordata; Aves; Passeriformes; Tyrannidae.
CUUUUGCAACCACAUCUCCAGGGUAAAAGCUUCAGGUCAUCAGAAAAGUUGGUACUUCCUCUGCCUACAGCUGACUCUGGAAGAUGGACCUGUACCAUAUCAGCAAUGCUUUGUGUUGUGCUUGCAAGAAUGAUAAUAGAACCAACAAAAUUGUUUUAUUUCCUUCUCUGUGCACACUACAGAGAAAGUCCAGGACAAAGAAUUGAAGCCUUUCAUCAGCUACCAUUUAUCUCCUCUUUUUUAUGAAGAUGCAAGGAGAAGAUGACAAUUGCUGAUGCUGUGAUCACUUCAUCUAUUUUUGCUGAUGUACUAUUCAGUGCUACAAUUUGGUUCUACUAAUUGAUUCCUCCUACAGAAAAACAGCUGAUGAACUCCCAUCUUAAAAAGUAUGCCUAAAUAGGGUUGAUCUGCCAACUCUUUUAAGACUGCAGCUACUUUUGAUUACUUAACAUAACAAUAAGCAUCUUAGUCACUCAGUUGCUGUAGAUAACACUUGCAUAUUCUUUCACUAUUCCUGGUUGUAACCAUAAGUAUCUGAUGAAAAAAUCAGUUUGUUAUUCAAGUUAUGGACUCACUCUGUACCUCUCUACUUCUGCUUUUCCAUGCAACAAUAAAAGAUAGCUGGUAUUAGGUGUGGUUGGAAAUGA